UAGUUGGCCGGGCCGAGACCCAGCCGGACCUUGGUGUGGUCCAGCGGACGCCACCGGGGCAGCGGCCCCGGCUCGGUCGCCGGACCGGCCACC
This 93-nucleotide transfer RNA is filed under the name Plantactinospora endophytica. RNAcentral's name for it is "tRNA-Thr". Lineage: Bacteria; Bacillati; Actinomycetota; Actinomycetes; Micromonosporales; Micromonosporaceae. The record is from RNAcentral.